This 189-nucleotide small nuclear RNA is filed under the name Rachicladosporium sp. CCFEE 5018. RNAcentral's name for it is "U2 spliceosomal RNA". It matches the Rfam family "U2 spliceosomal RNA". From Rfam's summary of the family: U2 is a small nuclear RNA (snRNA) component of the spliceosome (involved in pre-mRNA splicing). Lineage: Eukaryota; Fungi; Ascomycota; Dothideomycetes; Cladosporiales; Cladosporiaceae. The record is from Rfam by way of RNAcentral.
AUCAUGAUCAUACACUGUGCUGACCUUCUCCUAGUAUCUGUUCUUUUCAGUUUAAUCGCUGAAACUCGACUACGGUCGAUUUACGAUUAUCCUUAUUUUUCGCACUCGCGAGGUGCUCCCUGAGCUUGCUCAUAGUAUCCACGCACCGUGUCCUUGGCCUUACACUACCGCCUUGUGACGCAAACCCUU